GGCCUUUUGGAUUUAAUUGAAGGUCUGACCUGCCCAGUGAUAAAUUUAACGGCCGCGGUAUACUGACCGUGCAAAGGUAGCAUAAUCAUUAGUCUUUUAAUAGAGGGCUGGAAUGAAAGGUUUAACGAGGAACUGACUGUCUCAUUUUAUUUGUUUUAAAAUUUAAUUUUUUAGUUAAAAAGCUAAAAUUUUAUUGGAAGACGAGAAGACCCUAUAGAUCUUUACAUAAUUUUAUUUAAAUAUUUUUAUAUUAAUAUUUUUAAUUAAUAUUGUGUUUUGUUGGGGUGACAAAAAUAUAAAUAUAACUUUUUUAUUUACAUAACAUUGAUUUAUGAAUAUUAGAUCCAUUAUUAUUGAUUAUUAGACUAAGUUACCUUAGGGAUAACAGCGUAAUCCUCCUCCAGAGUUCAUAUUUACAGGAUGGGCUUGCGACCUCGAUGUUGGAUUAAGAUAAUAAUUAGGUGUAGCCGCUUAAUUUAUAGGUCUGUUCGACCUUUAAAUUCUU
This 505-nucleotide ribosomal RNA is filed under the name Lathrecista asiatica. Its description in RNAcentral is "partial 16S ribosomal RNA". It matches the Rfam family "Bacterial large subunit ribosomal RNA", at positions 1819 to 2597 of the family's 2925-position model. Lineage: Eukaryota; Metazoa; Arthropoda; Insecta; Odonata; Libellulidae. The record is from RNAcentral.